Molecule: small RNA, 404 nt
Filed under: Oryza sativa Japonica Group (Japanese rice)
Lineage: Eukaryota; Viridiplantae; Streptophyta; Magnoliopsida; Poales; Poaceae
Description: sRNA Os03g0840350
Source: RNAcentral
CGUUUCUACAAAUGAUGAUGAUGAUGAUGAUCUUGGUGAUGUUUUUGAUUGGUACUAACGUGAUUACCAUGCGAACAUUACUGACGACCUCAUGAUUCUAUCAAUAUCAUGGGCCUCUUGAAAAUUUAUAUUCUGGUGCUAUGACCUUUGGGCUCUGGAAGGCCAUAUUCUGCAUCGAAAAUAAUUUUGCUGACAGGAUUCUCCAGAUGGCGAUGAAAGCAGUACAGUUCCAAAGGCUGAAGAACUGUAUUUUUUUUUUUUUGGUUUGCUGCUUAUUUCUAGUUUAGUUGAAACUUAGAACCAUAAUUCUAGUGCUUAGCAACACAGGGAUCUCAAUAUUUGUUGCUUGAAUCCUAGUUUCGUAGAUUACUUGCAGAGUAGUAAUGUAUAUAUUGCUCCAUCAU